CAGGGAGACAACAAAAUGUUUAAUAUUAUUAUUUUGUCACCUUAGGUCGAUCGGUAUCUCACAUCCUUAACUUAUUAAGGAUUUCAUUUCCUAAGUUUUUCUAGGUCACACCCAUUAUUUUUCCUGGGCCAUUAGCUCAGGUGGUUAGAGCGCACCCCUGAUAAGGGUGAGGUCCCUGGUUCAAGUCCAGGAUGGCCCAUAUCUCUAUGUUGGGGGUAUAGCUCAGUUGGUAGAGCGCCUGCUUUGCAAGCAGGAUGUCAGCGGUUCGAGUCCGCUUACCUCCACUGAUUACCACCUCUUCCAUAUUCUUUAGAAGGGAAAUAUUUUGAGUUGUGAUCAAAGUCUGAACGAAUCUAGCUUCCUAAUAAAUUUAUUAAGAUGCUGGACUCAUUGAAUUAUUUUCAUUGUUUUCAGAGAACCUUGACAACUGCAUAGAUUAUUUUUAAAGACAAUAAGCAUCUUUAAUGAUGCAGAUUUAUUAUUUGUGCGAAUGCAUUAAAUAACAAUUCUAUUAAGCUGAUGCUUCAAUUAUUGAAGUUAUU
RNAcentral lists this transfer RNA (542 nucleotides) under uncultured cyanobacterium. RNAcentral's name for it is "partial contains 16S ribosomal RNA, 16S-23S ribosomal RNA intergenic spacer, and 23S ribosomal RNA". The stretch from base 212 to 284 matches the Rfam family "tRNA". The record is from RNAcentral. Lineage: Bacteria; Bacillati; Cyanobacteriota.